GCUGGGUUGGCAGAGGAGAUGUAGUUGGUUUAGGUUCAAAAGACAAGGUGUAAGUCCUUACCUGGUG
RNAcentral lists this transfer RNA (67 nucleotides) under Cucullaea labiata. RNAcentral describes it as "tRNA-Leu". The record is from RNAcentral. Lineage: Eukaryota; Metazoa; Mollusca; Bivalvia; Arcoida; Cucullaeidae.